RNAcentral lists this signal recognition particle RNA (315 nucleotides) under Chlorocebus sabaeus (green monkey). Its description in RNAcentral is "Metazoan signal recognition particle RNA". It matches the Rfam family "Metazoan signal recognition particle RNA". From Rfam's summary of the family: The signal recognition particle (SRP) is a universally conserved ribonucleoprotein. It is involved in the co-translational targeting of proteins to membranes. The record is from Rfam by way of RNAcentral. Lineage: Eukaryota; Metazoa; Chordata; Mammalia; Primates; Cercopithecidae.
GCCAGGCACAGGGGCUCAUGCCUGUAAUCCCAGCACUUUGGGAGGCUGAGGCGGGAGAAUGGCUUGAACCCAGGAGGCAGAAGUUGCAGUGAGCCAAGAUCACGCCCCGGCACUUUAGCCUGGGUGAAAGAGCAAGCCUCCGUCUUAAAAAAAAAAAAAAAAAAGAAGAAGAAGANNNNNNNNNNUCUUCUUCUUCUUUUUUUUUUUUUUUUUUAAGACGGAGGCUUGCUCUUUCACCCAGGCUAGAGUGCAGUGGCGUGAUCUUGGCUCACUGCAACUUCUGCCUCCUGGGUUCAAGCCAUUCUCCCGCCUCAG